This 2902-nucleotide ribosomal RNA is filed under the name Escherichia fergusonii. RNAcentral describes it as "bacterial LSU rRNA". It matches the Rfam family "Bacterial large subunit ribosomal RNA". Lineage: Bacteria; Pseudomonadati; Pseudomonadota; Gammaproteobacteria; Enterobacterales; Enterobacteriaceae. The record is from RNAcentral.
UUAAGCGACUAAGCGUACACGGUGGAUGCCCUGGCAGUCAGAGGCGAUGAAGGACGUGCUAAUCUGCGAUAAGCGUCGGUAAGGUGAUAUGAACCGUUAUAACCGGCGAUUUCCGAAUGGGGAAACCCAGUGUGAUUCGUCACACUAUCAUUAACUGAAUCCAUAGGUUAAUGAGGCGAACCGGGGGAACUGAAACAUCUAAGUACCCCGAGGAAAAGAAAUCAACCGAGAUUCCCCCAGUAGCGGCGAGCGAACGGGGAGGAGCCCAGAGCCUGAAUCAGUGUGUGUGUUAGUGGAAGCGUCUGGAAAGGCGCGCGAUACAGGGUGACAGCCCCGUACACAAAAAUGCACAUACUGUGAGCUCGAUGAGUAGGGCGGGACACGUGGUAUCCUGUCUGAAUAUGGGGGGACCAUCCUCCAAGGCUAAAUACUCCUGACUGACCGAUAGUGAACCAGUACCGUGAGGGAAAGGCGAAAAGAACCCCGGCGAGGGGAGUGAAAAAGAACCUGAAACCGUGUACGUACAAGCAGUGGGAGCCUCUUUAUGGGGUGACUGCGUACCUUUUGUAUAAUGGGUCAGCGACUUAUAUUCUGUAGCAAGGUUAACCGAAUAGGGGAGCCGAAGGGAAACCGAGUCUUAACUGGGCGUUAAGUUGCAGGGUAUAGACCCGAAACCCGGUGAUCUAGCCAUGGGCAGGUUGAAGGUUGGGUAACACUAACUGGAGGACCGAACCGACUAAUGUUGAAAAAUUAGCGGAUGACUUGUGGCUGGGGGUGAAAGGCCAAUCAAACCGGGAGAUAGCUGGUUCUCCCCGAAAGCUAUUUAGGUAGCGCCUCGUGAAUUCAUCUCCGGGGGUAGAGCACUGUUUCGGCAAGGGGGUCAUCCCGACUUACCAACCCGAUGCAAACUGCGAAUACCGGAGAAUGUUAUCACGGGAGACACACGGCGGGUGCUAACGUCCGUCGUGAAGAGGGAAACAACCCAGACCGCCAGCUAAGGUCCCAAAGUCAUGGUUAAGUGGGAAACGAUGUGGGAAGGCCCAGACAGCCAGGAUGUUGGCUUAGAAGCAGCCAUCAUUUAAAGAAAGCGUAAUAGCUCACUGGUCGAGUCGGCCUGCGCGGAAGAUGUAACGGGGCUAAACCAUGCACCGAAGCUGCGGCAGCGACACUGUGUGUUGUUGGGUAGGGGAGCGUUCUGUAAGCCUGUGAAGGUGUGCUGUGAGGCAUGCUGGAGGUAUCAGAAGUGCGAAUGCUGACAUAAGUAACGAUAAAGCGGGUGAAAAGCCCGCUCGCCGGAAGACCAAGGGUUCCUGUCCAACGUUAAUCGGGGCAGGGUGAGUCGACCCCUAAGGCGAGGCCGAAAGGCGUAGUCGAUGGGAAACAGGUUAAUAUUCCUGUACUUGGUGUUACUGCGAAGGGGGGACGGAGAAGGCUAUGUUGGCCGGGCGACGGUUGUCCCGGUUUAAGCGUGUAGGCUGGUUUUCCAGGCAAAUCCGGAAAAUCAAGGCUGAGGCGUGAUGACGAGGCACUACGGUGCUGAAGUGACAAAUGCCCUGCUUCCAGGAAAAGCCUCUAAGCAUCAGGUAACAACAAAUCGUACCCCAAACCGACACAGGUGGUCAGGUAGAGAAUACCAAGGCGCUUGAGAGAACUCGGGUGAAGGAACUAGGCAAAAUGGUGCCGUAACUUCGGGAGAAGGCACGCUGAUAUGUAGGUGAAGCGACUUGCUCGUGGAGCUGAAAUCAGUCGAAGAUACCAGCUGGCUGCAACUGUUUAUUAAAAACACAGCACUGUGCAAACACGAAAGUGGACGUAUACGGUGUGACGCCUGCCCGGUGCCGGAAGGUUAAUUGAUGGGGUUAGCGGUAACGCGAAGCUCUUGAUCGAAGCCCCGGUAAACGGCGGCCGUAACUAUAACGGUCCUAAGGUAGCGAAAUUCCUUGUCGGGUAAGUUCCGACCUGCACGAAUGGCGUAAUGAUGGCCAGGCUGUCUCCACCCGAGACUCAGUGAAAUUGAACUCGCUGUGAAGAUGCAGUGUACCCGCGGCAAGACGGAAAGACCCCGUGAACCUUUACUAUAGCUUGACACUGAACAUUGAGCCUUGAUGUGUAGGAUAGGUGGGAGGCUUAGAAGUGUGGACGCCAGUCUGCAUGGAGCCGACCUUGAAAUACCACCCUUUAAUGUUUGAUGUUCUAACGUUGGCCCCUUAUCGGGGUUGCGGACAGUGUCUGGUGGGUAGUUUGACUGGGGCGGUCUCCUCCUAAAGAGUAACGGAGGAGCACGAAGGUUGGCUAAUCCUGGUCGGACAUCAGGAGGUUAGUGCAAUGGCAUAAGCCAGCUUGACUGCGAGCGUGACGGCGCGAGCAGGUGCGAAAGCAGGUCAUAGUGAUCCGGUGGUUCUGAAUGGAAGGGCCAUCGCUCAACGGAUAAAAGGUACUCCGGGGAUAACAGGCUGAUACCGCCCAAGAGUUCAUAUCGACGGCGGUGUUUGGCACCUCGAUGUCGGCUCAUCACAUCCUGGGGCUGAAGUAGGUCCCAAGGGUAUGGCUGUUCGCCAUUUAAAGUGGUACGCGAGCUGGGUUUAGAACGUCGUGAGACAGUUCGGUCCCUAUCUGCCGUGGGCGCUGGAGAACUGAGGGGGGCUGCUCCUAGUACGAGAGGACCGGAGUGGACGCAUCACUGGUGUUCGGGUUGUCAUGCCAAUGGCACUGCCCGGUAGCUAAAUGCGGAAGAGAUAAGUGCUGAAAGCAUCUAAGCACGAAACUUGCCCCGAGAUGAGUUCUCCCUGACCCUUUAAGGGUCCUGAAGGAACGUUGAAGACGACGACGUUGAUAGGCCGGGUGUGUAAGCGCAGCGAUGCGUUGAGCUAACCGGUACUAAUGAACCGUGAGGCUUAACCUU